GCUAUAUGAUUAAUUAUUAAAUCAUUCAUUACUUAUCACCUGCUUUAUCAAUCAUUGGAAUAUGAAUACCUUUUUCUUUAGCUGUUUGAAUAGCGAUGUCAUAGCCAGCAUCAACAUGUCGGGCAACACCCAUACCUGGGUC
RNAcentral lists this small RNA (142 nucleotides) under Staphylococcus aureus. Its description in RNAcentral is "HMPRFS0000_2596". Lineage: Bacteria; Bacillati; Bacillota; Bacilli; Caryophanales; Staphylococcaceae. The record is from RNAcentral.